This 806-nucleotide long non-coding RNA is filed under the name Salarias fasciatus (jewelled blenny). RNAcentral's name for it is "lncRNA (ENSSFAG00005012945.1)". The record is from RNAcentral. Lineage: Eukaryota; Metazoa; Chordata; Actinopteri; Blenniiformes; Blenniidae.
CCAGCGUGGAAACAAAGCCAAGACUGCAGAUGUCUGAACCAACUGAAGCUCGCCCAGUGGCCUGGAUAUCUGCAGUCUGAUGCUGAAACACCACAUUUAAGACUGACAGUCGACAGCGGUUGGGUGACCUGCGUAAGAAAUGAACGUUUAUUAUUGGAUAAAGUCAUUAAAAAGCAAGAAGUGAGUGCUGUGCUGGGAAUUCCAAUGAGCUGCGUCUUCCCAGUGAAGAGCUGCAGCUCAGAAAUCGAAACUGAUGAAGAGACGGAUUCACUUGAUACUGAGCACAAUGAGAAAGAUGUUUGUCUACAGAGGAGACUUCCUGAAGGACCAGUUGGCUUCAUGCAUGACUGAAAAUAGCGAUGCUAAAAACAGACAUUUUAUGUUAUGAUUGUCAGCAGUGUCACAAGUUACUGAGUUCAUGUAAGAAUUUCUUUGUUUUGCUCUGGUUUUGAAUUAAAAUAGACUCUGCACUGUAAGAAGUUUUUGUUGUUUUUAACCACAUUUUUACUGUAAAUUGUCCAAAUCCUCACUGUAUCCCCUGCAUACCUGCAGGUUUGCUCGAUAGUAAACAGAGGUGCAGAAUUGAUAGUCAGAGAUUCAUCUGUUUUUCCAUUGUUCUUUUUAGUGCUUUCAGUUUUAAUGUCAGUCAUCACGAUAAUUAAUGGAGUGCUGUCAAUGAUUAAUUUUUUUAAAUUGUGAAUAAUGACAAAAAUUACAACUAGGGUUAUCAAUUGACUCUAAGAAACGAAACAGAAGAGAAAACUCAUUUUCCUGUCAUUGAGACUUCAUUGUUUUUUUCAUUCCUG